This 497-nucleotide ribosomal RNA is filed under the name uncultured bacterium. RNAcentral's name for it is "partial 16S ribosomal RNA". It matches the Rfam family "Bacterial small subunit ribosomal RNA", at positions 28 to 507 of the family's 1533-position model. The record is from RNAcentral.
GACGAACGCUGGCGGCGUGCCUAAUACAUGCAAGUUGAGCGCUGAGGGUUGGUACUUGUCCCAACUGGAUGAGCAGCGAACGGGUGAGUAACGCGUGGGGAAUCUGCCUUUGAGCGGGGGACAACAUUUGGAAACGAAUGCUAAUACCGCAUAAAAACUUUAAACACAAGUUUUAAGUUUGAAAGAUGCAAUUGCAUCACUCAAAGAUGAUCCCGCGUUGUAUUAGCUAGUUGGUGAGGUAAAGGCUCACCAAGGCGAUGAUACAUAGCCGACCUGAGAGGGUGAUCGGCCACAUUGGGACUGAGACACGGCCCAAACUCCUACGGGAGGCAGCAGUAGGGAAUCUUCGGCAAUGGACGAAAGUCUGACCGAGCAACGCCGCGUGAGAGAAGAAGGUUUUCGGAUCGUAAAACUCUGUUGGUAGAGAAGAACGUUGGUGAGAGUGGAAAGCUCAUCAAGUGACGGUAACUACCCAGAAAGGGACGGCUAACUACGUG